UGGUGGGGAACUGGGGCAUUCUGGGUCGAGGUAGGUCGGAGGUACUUCUGGGGUAUCGGUGGAGUGCUAUAAUCCUAGGGGGAGCACCAGUGGCGAAAGCGUCCGACCAGAGGGGCCUGACGGUGAGGGACGAAAGCCAGGGGCGCGAACGGGAUUAGAUACGCCGGUAGUGCUGGUCGUAAACGCUGUGGGCUAGGUGGUGCAUGCUCUACGAGGGCAUGCAUUGCCGAAGAGAAGUUGAUAAGCCUACCGCCUGGGAAGUACUAUCGCAAGAUAGAAACUUAAAGGAAUUGGCGGGGGAGCACCACAAGGGGUGAAGUCUGCGGUUCAAUUGGAUUCAACGCCGGACAUCUCACUGGAAGCGAC
This 366-nucleotide ribosomal RNA is filed under the name uncultured archaeon. RNAcentral describes it as "bacterial SSU rRNA". It matches the Rfam family "Archaeal small subunit ribosomal RNA", at positions 574 to 940 of the family's 1478-position model. The record is from RNAcentral.